GAUGAAGAACGUAGCGAAAUGCGAUAAGUAAUGUGAAUUGCAGAAUUCAGUGAAUCAUCGAAUCUUUGAACGCACAUUGCGCCCGCCAGUAUUCUGGCGGGCAUGCCUGUUCGAGCGUCAUUUCAACCCUCAGGACCCUUUGGACCUGGUGUUGGGGCUCGGCCGCUACCCCGCGGCCGUCCCCGAAAGAUAGUGGCGGUCUCGCUGUAGCGUCCUCUGCGUAGUAAUUACACCUCGCACUGGAACGCGGCGCGGCCACGCCGUUAAACACCCCACUUCUCAAGGUUGACCUCGGAUCAGGUAGGAAUACCCGCUGAACUUAAGCAUAUCAAUAACGGAGGA
RNAcentral lists this unclassified non-coding RNA (342 nucleotides) under soil metagenome. Its description in RNAcentral is "partial contains 5.8S ribosomal RNA, internal transcribed spacer 2, and large subunit ribosomal RNA". The stretch from base 1 to 120 matches the Rfam family "5.8S ribosomal RNA", at positions 35 to 154 of the family's 154-position model. The record is from RNAcentral.